Molecule: long non-coding RNA, 780 nt
Filed under: Cottoperca gobio
Lineage: Eukaryota; Metazoa; Chordata; Actinopteri; Perciformes; Bovichtidae
Description: lncRNA (ENSCGOG00000018247.1)
Source: RNAcentral
GAACGUUCCCUCAACACUAUGACAGAUUUCACACUUGUCAAAAGAAGAGGAAGAGUUCAGCACCAGUCCUCCAUCAAAUGUCUUGUUGAGCGAGACAUUUCUUUUCUUUUUUAUCCACUGGAGGAAAAAAACGCACACAACCUGUGACAGAAGAUGAAGCAGUGUGUGACAGAAGAGGAACGCAGCUCAGCAAACAUCAGAGAAGAUCAGUUUGUGGUCCUGCCUCUCCACCUGCUGCUCACACAAGGCAUGACAACAGACGGAGCCGUUUCAAUCCUCUCCUCGUCUUACAGGUCUCAGGGAGGAGGAAGACAAGACUCAACACAGCGCUGAUGCCCUUCCUUCUCCUUCUUGGAUAUCCAACAACGACUUACCACAAAUAUAAAUCAAUUAAAAUGACUUUACAGGAUGAUUGUUUCGUCAUGUUCGGUAAGAGACAGUAUAAUCUGUGUGUUUACAGUUGCAUGCCUGGCCCACCUUUUUCUUAUCAGCCUUCAUCUGACAAAAGCAAAUCUCACAUAACUGUUGUGUAACAUAGGUCUGCCCUCCCUCUCUGUUUCCUUUUGAUUCACCUUUAGCCUCAAUGUUAUUGUGCCGUCUGCAAAUCCCUUUCAGAGAGAAAAGAAGAGUCUUUAGGAAGAAUGACAGCAGGCAACCUAACAUGGCCCAAGACCAAACAGGUAUUUCCAUAUUUCUGGUGUGUCUGUCUGCCUGUACAGUAUGUUUGUCUAUUUAUCUGAGUUUUGUUAAUUAUCUUCCAAGAAUUGAUAAUGAAAUUCA